CCUACGGGAGGCAGCAGUAGGGAAUCUUCCGCAAUGGACGAAAGUCUGACGGAGCAACGCCGCGUGAACGAUGAAGGUCUUCGGAUCGUAAAGUUCUGUUGUUAGGGAAGAACAAGUACCGUGCGAAUAGAGCGGUACCUUGACGGUACCUAAGUCCGAGUAGAAGCCUCCGGCUAACUACGUGCCAGCAGCCGCGGUAAUACGUAGGGGGCAAGCGUUGUCCGGAAUUAUUGGGCGUAAAGCGCGCGCAGGCGGUUCCUUAAGUCUGAUGUGAAAGCCCACGGCUCAACCGUGGAGGGUCAUUGGAAACUGGGGAACUUGAGGACAGAAGAGGAGAGUGGAAUUCCACGUGUAGCGGUGAAAUGCGUAGAUAUGUGGAGGAACACCAGUGGCGAAGGCGACUCUCUGGUCUGUUUCUGACGCUGAGGUGCGAAAGCGUGGGUAGCAAACAGGAUUAGAUACCCUGGUAGUCCACGCCGUAAACGAUGAGUGCUAGGUGUUAGGGGGCUUCCACCCCUUAGUGCUGAAGUUAACGCAUUAAGCACUCCGCCUGGGGAGUACGGCCGCAAGGCUGAAACUCAAAGGAAUUGACGGGAGGCCCGCACAAGCGGUGGAGCAUGUGGUUUAAUUCGAAGCAACGCGAAGAACCUUAC
Molecule: ribosomal RNA, 653 nt
Filed under: bacterium HN1-10-6
Lineage: Bacteria
Description: bacterial SSU rRNA
Rfam family: Bacterial small subunit ribosomal RNA
Source: RNAcentral